AGUACAUUGACAUUGUUCUUGAAUUGAGGACUUCAGAAAUAGUCACAGAGCUCCAGUGGCAGUGUCACUAGUACUGAAAAAAGUUUCCUCAGAAUCCUCUCGCUCAUGGAAAUAAUAUAGACCAAACCUCCAAGCUCGAGGGUAUGGAACAUCAGCUUGCACCAAAAGCUUUUGAAGUGGAUCCAACAGCAGCUGGAUGCCUGCACCAUGAUGGAGAAGGAACGAUAAGCACUCUCACAACUGGCUAGAAAAGAAACACAGCAAUAUAUUGGUUGAAUCUGGGAUGAACUGCCACAGGAAGUUUCAUCCAAUGUGAUUAAAAAAAUACAAUUUAAGAUUUCAAGUGUUCACAUAAGCGGUUCUCCUUGGCCUAGUAAAAUUUUAAGAGACUUGCAAGAUUAUCUCUGUCAUACCUCCUCAGCCUCAAUGUCAGUCUUCUAUUGCAGACACCAUAAAGUAAUAUGGUGAAAGAAAUCCUGUCUGCUACAUAAAGGCAUGAAACAAUGCCCUGAAGAGCAAAUUUAGAUAUUGGUAGGUCCCAAGAUCACCAUAGUCUGUCACAUUAUGUUCCCUUUUAACUGAAGGUGUUCUCUCUAAAGACACUGUACCAACUGUUCCUGGUCUAUCUCUGUCUUAUAUUUGUGCAUGCAUACAUAUGUAGACAUAUGUAGACACGUGUACCUAUAUACAUGCCUAUAGAU
Long non-coding RNA from Cuculus canorus (common cuckoo), 701 nucleotides. RefSeq lists it as uncharacterized. The transcript is spliced from 3 exons. The record is from RefSeq and is a predicted model, not a curated record. Lineage: Eukaryota; Metazoa; Chordata; Aves; Cuculiformes; Cuculidae.